ACGGAGUAGACAACAGGGAUUGCCCCAGUAACGGCGAGUGAAGCGGCAACAGCUCAAAUUUGAAAUCUGGCCUCCGGGUCCGAGUUGUAAUUUGUAGAGGAUGCUUUUGGCGAGGUGCCUUCCGAGUUCCCUGGAACGGGACGCCAUAGAGGGUGAGAGCCCCGUCUGGUCGGACACCGAGCCUCUGUAAAGCUCCUUCGACGAGUCGAGUAGUUUGGGAAUGCUGCUCAAAAUGGGAGGUAUAUGUCUUCUAAAGCUAAAUAUUGGCCAGAGACCGAUAGCGCACAAGUAGAGUGAUCGAAAGAUGAAAAGCACUUUGAAAAGAGGGUUAAAAAGUACGUGAAAUUGUUGAAAGGGAAGCGCCUAUGACCAGACUUGGGCCCGGUGAAUCAUCCAGCGUUCUCGCUGGUGCACUUUGCCGGGCACAGGCCAGCAUCAGUUUGGCGCGGGGGAUAAAGGUUUUGGGAAUGUGGCUCCCUCGGGAGUGUUAUAGCCCAUUGCGUAAUACCCUGCGCCGGACUGAGGUACGCGCAUCGCAAGGAUGCUGGCGUAAUGGUCAUCAGCGACCCGUCUUGAAACACGGACCAAGGAGUCGUCUUCGUAUGCGAGUGUUCGGGUGUCAAACCCCUACGCGUAAUGAAAGUGAACGCAGGUGAGAGCUUCGGCGCAUCAUCGACCGAUCCUGAUGUUCUCGGAUGGAUUUGAGUAAGAGCAUACGGGGCCGGACCCGAAAGAAGGUGAACUAUGCCUGUAUAGGGUGAAGCCAGAGGAAACUCUGGUGGAGGCUCGCAGCGGUUCUGACGUGCGAAUCGAUCGUCAAAUAUGGGCAUGGGGGCGAAAGACUAAUCGAACCUUCUAGUAGCUGGUUUCCGCCGAAGUCCCCCUUCAGGAAA
RNAcentral lists this ribosomal RNA (893 nucleotides) under Samsoniella guizhouensis. RNAcentral's name for it is "Samsoniella sp. WC-2022c partial large subunit ribosomal RNA". It matches the Rfam family "Eukaryotic large subunit ribosomal RNA", at positions 50 to 980 of the family's 3401-position model. The record is from RNAcentral. Lineage: Eukaryota; Fungi; Ascomycota; Sordariomycetes; Hypocreales; Cordycipitaceae.